Molecule: ribosomal RNA, 458 nt
Filed under: Norellisoma mirusae
Lineage: Eukaryota; Metazoa; Arthropoda; Insecta; Diptera; Scathophagidae
Description: Norellia mirusae partial 16S ribosomal RNA
Rfam family: Bacterial large subunit ribosomal RNA
Source: RNAcentral
UUUAAAUGGCCGCAGUAUAUUAACUGUGCAAAGGUAGCAUAAUCAUUAGUCUUUUAAUUGAAGGCUGGUAUGAAUGGUUGGACGAGAUAUUAACUGUUUCAUAAAAAUUUAUAUUAGAAUUUUAUUUUUUAGUUAAAAAGCUAGAAUUUAUUUAAAAGACGAGAAGACCCUAUAAAUCUUUAUAUUUAAAUUAUUGUAAUUUUAUAAAUUAUUUUUGUUACAAUAAUUGAUGAUAUUUUAUUGGGGCGAUAUUAAAAUUUAAUAAACUUUUAAUUAUUUAAAUCAUUAAUUUAUGAAUAAUUGAUCCGUUAUUAACGAUUAAAAAAAUAAGUUACUUUAGGGAUAACAGCGUAAUUUUUUUGGAGAGUUCAUAUCGAUAAAAAAGAUUGCGACCUCGAUGUUGGAUUAAGAUAUAAUUUUAGGUGUAGCUGCUUAAAUUUUAAGUCUGUUCGACUUUU